GGGUUGUGAGGUUAAGCGACUAAGCGUACACGGUGGAUGCCCUGGCAGUCAGAGGCGAUGAAGGACGUGCUAAUCUGCGAAAAGCGUCGGUAAGGUGAUAUGAACCGUUACAGCCGGCGAUGUCCGAAUGGGGAAACCCAGUGUGAUUCGUCACACUAUCGUUAACUGAAUACAUAGGUUAACGAGGCGAACCGGGGGAACUGAAACAUCUAAGUACCCCGAGGAAAAGAAAUCAACCGAGAUUCCCCCAGUAGCGGCGAGCGAACGGGGAGCAGCCCAGAGUCUGAAUCAGCUUGUGUGUUAGUGGAACGGUCUGGAAAGUCCGACGGUACAGGGUGAUAGUCCCGUACACCAAAAUGCACAGGCUGUGAACUCGAAGAGUAGGGCGGGACACGUGGUAUCCUGUCUGAAUAUGGGGGGACCAUCCUCCAAGGCUAAAUACUCCUGACUGACCGAUAGUGAACCAGUACCGUGAGGGAAAGGCGAAAAGAACCCCGGCGAGGGGAGUGAAAAAGAACCUGAAACCGUGUACGUACAAGCAGUGGGAGCACCUUCGGGUGUGACUGCGUACCUUUUGUAUAAUGGGUCAGCGACUUAUAUUCUGUAGCAAGGUUAACCGUAUAGGGGAGCCGCAGGGAAACCGAGUCUUAACUGGGCGUUAAGUUGCAGGGUAUAGACCCGAAACCCGGUGAUCUAGCCAUGGGCAGGUUGAAGGUUGGGUAACACUAACUGGAGGACCGAACCGACUAAUGUUGAAAAAUUAGCGGAUGACUUGUGGCUGGGGGUGAAAGGCCAAUCAAACCGGGAGAUAGCUGGUUCUCCCCGAAAGCUAUUUAGGUAGCGCCUCGUGAAUUCAUCUUCGGGGGUAGAGCACUGUUUCGGCUAGGGGGUCAUCCCGACUUACCAACCCGAUGCAAACUACGAAUACCGAAGAAUGUUAUCACGGGAGACACACGGCGGGUGCUAACGUCCGUCGUGAAGAGGGAAACAACCCAGACCGCCAGCUAAGGUCCCAAAGUCAUGGUUAAGUGGGAAACGAUGUGGGAAGGCACAGACAGCCAGGAUGUUGGCUUAGAAGCAGCCAUCAUUUAAAGAAAGCGUAAUAGCUCACUGGUCGAGUCGGCCUGCGCGGAAGAUGUAACGGGGCUAAACCAUGCACCGAAGCUGCGGCAGCGACACUAUGUGUUGUUGGGUAGGGGAGCGUUCUGUAAGCCUGCGAAGGUGACCUGUGAGGGUUGCUGGAGGUAUCAGAAGUGCGAAUGCUGACAUAAGUAACGAUAAAGCGGGUGAAAAGCCCGCUCGCCGGAAGACCAAGGGUUCCUGUCCAACGUUAAUCGGGGCAGGGUGAGUCGACCCCUAAGGCGAGGCCGAAAGGCGUAGUCGAUGGGAAACAGGUUAAUAUUCCUGUACUUGGUGUUACUGCGAAGGGGGGACGGAGAAGGCUAUGUUAGCCGGGCGACGGUUGUCCCGGUUUAAGCAUGUAGGCUGAUUAUCCAGGCAAAUCCGGAUAAUCAAGGCUGAGGUGUGAUGACGAGGCACUACGGUGCUGAAGUAACAAAUGCCCUGCUUCCAGGAAAAGCCUCUAAGCAUCAGGUAACAUCAAAUCGUACCCCAAACCGACACAGGUGGUCAGGUAGAGAAUACCAAGGCGCUUGAGAGAACUCGGGUGAAGGAACUAGGCAAAAUGGUGCCGUAACUUCGGGAGAAGGCACGCUGGUGUGUAGGUGAAGUCCCUGCGGAUGGAGCUGAGACCAGUCGAAGAUACCAGCUGGCUGCAACUGUUUAUUAAAAACACAGCACUGUGCAAACACGAAAGUGGACGUAUACGGUGUGACGCCUGCCCGGUGCCGGAAGGUUAAUUGAUGGGGUUAUCCGUAAGGAGAAGCUCUUGAUCGAAGCCCCGGUAAACGGCGGCCGUAACUAUAACGGUCCUAAGGUAGCGAAAUUCCUUGUCGGGUAAGUUCCGACCUGCACGAAUGGCGUAAUGAUGGCCAGGCUGUCUCCACCCGAGACUCAGUGAAAUUGAACUCGCUGUGAAGAUGCAGUGUACCCGCGGCAAGACGGAAAGACCCCGUGAACCUUUACUAUAGCUUGACACUGAACAUUGAGCCUUGAUGUGUAGGAUAGGUGGGAGGCUUUGAAGCGUGGACGCCAGUCUGCGUGGAGCCAACCUUGAAAUACCACCCUUUAAUGUUUGAUGUUCUAACGUUGGCCCCUUACCGGGGUUGCGGACAGUGUCUGGUGGGUAGUUUGACUGGGGCGGUCUCCUCCCAAAGCGUAACGGAGGAGCACGAAGGUUAGCUAAUCCUGGUCGGACAUCAGGAGGUUAGUGCAAUGGCAUAAGCUAGCUUGACUGCGAGCGUGACGGCGCGAGCAGGUGCGAAAGCAGGUCAUAGUGAUCCGGUGGUUCUGAAUGGAAGGGCCAUCGCUCAACGGAUAAAAGGUACUCCGGGGAUAACAGGCUGAUACCGCCCAAGAGUUCAUAUCGACGGCGGUGUUUGGCACCUCGAUGUCGGCUCAUCACAUCCUGGGGCUGAAGUAGGUCCCAAGGGUAUGGCUGUUCGCCAUUUAAAGUGGUACGCGAGCUGGGUUUAGAACGUCGUGAGACAGUUCGGUCCCUAUCUGCCGUGGGCGCUGGAGAAUUGAGGGGGGCUGCUCCUAGUACGAGAGGACCGGAGUGGACGCAUCACUGGUGUUCGGGUUGUCAUGCCAAUGGCACUGCCCGGUAGCUAAAUGCGGAAGAGAUAAGUGCUGAAAGCAUCUAAGCACGAAACUUGCCCCGAGAUGAGUUCUCCCUGAGACUUUAAGUCUCCUGAAGGAACGUUAAAGACGAUGACGUUGAUAGGCCGGGUGUGUAAGCGCAGCGAUGCGUUGAGCUAACCGGUACUAAUGAACCGUGAGGCUUAACCUUACAACGCCGAAG
Molecule: ribosomal RNA, 2923 nt
Filed under: Klebsiella pneumoniae
Lineage: Bacteria; Pseudomonadati; Pseudomonadota; Gammaproteobacteria; Enterobacterales; Enterobacteriaceae
Description: 23S ribosomal RNA
Rfam family: Bacterial large subunit ribosomal RNA
Source: RNAcentral